RNAcentral lists this ribosomal RNA (278 nucleotides) under uncultured bacterium. RNAcentral describes it as "partial 16S ribosomal RNA". It matches the Rfam family "Bacterial small subunit ribosomal RNA", at positions 506 to 784 of the family's 1533-position model. The record is from RNAcentral.
UGCCAGCCGCCGCGGUAAUACGUAGGUGCCAAACGUUGUCCGGAUUUACUGGGCGUAAAGGGCGCGCAGGCGGAUUAAAAAGUCAUCAAUGAAAGUCCAUGGCUUAACUGUAGGAUGUUGGUGAAACUGUUAAUCUUGAGGUUUCUAGAGGAGAGUGGAAUUAUCGGUGUAGUGGUGGAAUGCGUAGAUAUCGAUAGGAACACCAGUGGCGAAAGCGGCUCUCUGGGGAACACCUGACGCUGAGGCGCGAAAGCAUGGGUAGCAAACCGGAUUAGAUA